AGAGUUUGAUUUUGGCUCAGGAUGAACGCUGGCGGCGUGCUUAACACAUGCAAGUCGAACGGGAAACCUUUUAAUGAAGCUUCUUGCAGAUUUGGCUGGUUUCUAGUGGCGGACGGGUGAGUAACGCGUGGGUAACCUGCCUUAUACAGGGGGAUAACAACCAGAAAUGGUUGCUAAUACCGCAUAAGCGCACAGGACCGCAUGGUCUGGUGUGAAAAACUCCGGUGGUAUAAGAUGGACCCGCGUUGGAUUAGCUAGUUGGUGGGGUAACGGCCCACCAAGGCGACGAUCCAUAGCCGGCCUGAGAGGGUGAACGGCCACAUUGGGACUGAGACACGGCCCAGACUCCUACGGGAGGCAGCAGUGGGGAAUAUUGCGCAAUGGAGGAAACUCUGACGCAGUGACGCCGCGUGCAGGAAGAAGGUUUUCGGAUUGUAAACUGCUUUAGACAGGGAAGAGAAAGGACAGUACCUGUAGAAUAAGCAUCGGCUAACUCCGUGCCAGCAGCCGCGGUAAUACGGGGGAUGCGAGCGUUAUCCGGAUUCAUUGGGUUUAAAGGGUGCGUAGGCUGUGCGUCAAGUCAGGGGUGAAAUUCCGGGGCUCAACUCCGGGGCUGCCCUUGAUACUGUCGCGCUGGAGUGCGGAUGCCGCCGGAGGAAUGAGUGGUGUAGCGGUGAAAUGCUUAGAUAUCACUCAGAACACCGAUUGCGAAGGCAUCUGGCGAAUCCGUAACUGACGCUGAGGCACGAAAGCGUGGGGAUAGAACAGGAUUAGAUACCCUGGUAUUCCACGCCGUAAACGAUGA
This 805-nucleotide ribosomal RNA is filed under the name uncultured bacterium. Its description in RNAcentral is "bacterial SSU rRNA". It matches the Rfam family "Bacterial small subunit ribosomal RNA", at positions 8 to 812 of the family's 1533-position model. The record is from RNAcentral.